RNAcentral lists this ribosomal RNA (412 nucleotides) under uncultured microorganism. RNAcentral describes it as "bacterial SSU rRNA". It matches the Rfam family "Archaeal small subunit ribosomal RNA", at positions 330 to 745 of the family's 1478-position model. The record is from RNAcentral.
GCGCACCAGUCGCGAACCUUCGCAAUGCGGGAAACCGCGACGAGGGGACUCCUAGUGCCUACGCUCAGCGUAGGCUGUUCCCGGGCCUAGAAAGCUCGGGGAGUAAGGGCUGGGUAAGACGGGUGCCAGCCGCCGCGGUAAUACCCGCAGCCCGAGUGGUGGCCACUAUUAUUGGGCCUAAAGCGUCCGUAGCCGGCCCGGUAAAUGCCUGGGUAAAUCGUGAGGCCUAACCUCACGAAUUCCGGGUAGACUGCCGGGCUAGGGACCGGAGGAGGGAGAGGGUACUCCAGGGGUAGGGGUGAAAUCCUGUAAUCCCUGGAGGACCACCGGUGGCGAAGGCGCUCUCCUAGGACGGGUCCGACGGUGAGGGACGAAAGCCAGGGGAGCGAACCGGAUUAGAUACCCCGGUAGU